This 520-nucleotide ribosomal RNA is filed under the name uncultured bacterium. RNAcentral's name for it is "bacterial SSU rRNA". It matches the Rfam family "Bacterial small subunit ribosomal RNA", at positions 9 to 518 of the family's 1533-position model. The record is from RNAcentral.
GAGUUUGAUUCUGGCUCAGGAUGAACGCUAGCUACAGGCUUAACACAUGCAAGUCGAGGGGCAGCAUAACGAAAGCUUGCUUUUGUGAUGGCGACCGGCGCACGGGUGAGUAACGCGUAUCCAACCUUCCCUGUAGUAGAGAAUAGCCCGGCGAAAGUCGGAUUAAUGCUCUAUGUUGUAUUUCGAUGACAUCUGAAGAAUACCAAAGGUUUACCGCUAUAGGAUGGGGAUGCGUCUGAUUAGGUUGUUGGCGGGGUAACGGCCCACCAAGCCCACGAUCAGUAGGGGUUCUGAGAGGAAGGUCCCCCACAUUGGAACUGAGACACGGUCCAAACUCCUACGGGAGGCAGCAGUGAGGAAUAUUGGUCAAUGGACGGAAGUCUGAACCAGCCAAGUAGCCGUGCAGGAUGACGGCCCUAUGGGUUGUAAACUGCUUUUAUAUAGGGAUAAAGUCGGGGACGUGUCCCCGUUUGUAGGUACUAUAUGAAUAAGGACCGGCUAAUUCCGUGCCAGCAGCUGC